Cordylochernes scorpioides is the source of this 69-nucleotide non-coding RNA. NCBI's taxonomy places the organism in Eukaryota, Metazoa, Arthropoda, Arachnida, Pseudoscorpiones, Chernetidae. The record is from the annotation of a GenBank genome assembly.
GUCCAGGGUAGCCUAGUGGACAUGGCAUCUGCCCGUUAAGCAGAACACUGUGGGUUCGAUUCCUGGAUA